UCCUACGGGGGGCAGCAGUAGGGAAUCUUCCGCAAUGGGCGAAAGCCUGACGGAGCAACGCCGCGUGAGUGAUGAAGGGUUUCGGCUCGUAAAACUCUGUUAUUAGGGAAGAACAAAUGUGUAAGUAACUGUGCACAUCUUGACGGUACCUAAUCAGAAAGCCACGGCUAACUACGUGCCAGCAGCCGCGGUAAUACGUAGGUGGCAAGCGUUAUCCGGAAUUAUUGGGCGUAAAGCGCGCGUAGGCGGUUUCUUAAGUCUGAUGUGAAAGCCCACGGCUCAACCGUGGAGGGUCAUUGGAAACU
Molecule: ribosomal RNA, 305 nt
Filed under: uncultured bacterium
Lineage: Bacteria
Description: bacterial SSU rRNA
Rfam family: Bacterial small subunit ribosomal RNA
Source: RNAcentral